GUGGUAUCUCAAUGUGGUUUUAAUCUGCAUUUCACUAAUGACACUGGAGGUUGAACAUCUUUACGUAUGGUUAUUUGUCACUUAUAUAUUUUCUUUUAAGUGUUCAUUCACAUCAAUAUUUUUUGUUCAUUUCAAUAUCUUUUAAGAUCUUUUUUCCAUUUUUCUGUUUUUUUUAAUUAUUAAGUUUUGAGAGAUCUUUUUAUAUUCUGGAUAUGAACUCAAACUGACCACUUUAGGAGUCUAAAGUGGGACAGUCGCUUGAGCCCAGGAGUUUGAGACCAACCUGGGCAACAUAGUGAGACUCUGCCUCUACAAA
This is a long non-coding RNA of Sapajus apella (tufted capuchin), 316 nucleotides long. RefSeq lists it as uncharacterized. The transcript has 3 exons. Lineage: Eukaryota; Metazoa; Chordata; Mammalia; Primates; Cebidae. The record is from RefSeq and is a predicted model, not a curated record.